RNAcentral lists this ribosomal RNA (253 nucleotides) under uncultured bacterium. RNAcentral's name for it is "partial 16S ribosomal RNA". It matches the Rfam family "Bacterial small subunit ribosomal RNA", at positions 524 to 776 of the family's 1533-position model. The record is from RNAcentral.
UACGGAGGAUCCAAGCGUUAUCCGGAUUUAUUGGGUUUAAAGGGUGCGUAGGCGGCCUAUUAAGUCAGGGGUGAAAGACGGUAGCUUAACUAUCGCAGUGCCUUUGAUACUGAUGGGCUUGAAUGAACUAGAGGUAGGCGGAAUGUGACAAGUAGCGGUGAAAUGCAUAGAUAUGUCACAGAACACCAAUUGCGAAGGCGGCUUACUAGGGUUUUAUUGACGCUGAGGCGCGAAAGCGUGGGGAUCAAACAGG